GCAUUGUGGUUCACUGGUAGAACUCUCACCUUCCAUGCAGGAGACCUGGGUUCAAUUCUCAGCCAGUGCA
This 70-nucleotide transfer RNA is filed under the name Loxodonta africana (African savanna elephant). It matches the Rfam family "tRNA". From Rfam's summary of the family: Transfer RNA (tRNA) molecules are approximately 80 nucleotides in length. The record is from Rfam by way of RNAcentral. Lineage: Eukaryota; Metazoa; Chordata; Mammalia; Proboscidea; Elephantidae.